Molecule: ribosomal RNA, 253 nt
Filed under: uncultured bacterium
Lineage: Bacteria
Description: partial 16S ribosomal RNA
Rfam family: Bacterial small subunit ribosomal RNA
Source: RNAcentral
UACGGGGGGGGCAAGCGUUGUUCGGAAUUACUGGGCGUAAAGGGCUCGUAGGCGGCCAACUAAGUCAGACGUGAAAUCCCUCGGCUUAACCGGGGAACUGCGUCUGAUACUGGAUGGCUUGAGUUUGGGAGAGGGAUGCGGAAUUCCAGGUGUAGCGGUGAAAUGCGUAGAUAUCGGGAAGAACACCCGUGGCUAAGGCGGCUCUCUAGUACGGUACUGACGCUGAGACGCGAAAGCGUGGGGAGCGAACAGG